This 257-nucleotide ribosomal RNA is filed under the name uncultured Leptotrichia sp. RNAcentral describes it as "partial 16S ribosomal RNA". It matches the Rfam family "Bacterial small subunit ribosomal RNA", at positions 97 to 354 of the family's 1533-position model. Lineage: Bacteria; Fusobacteriati; Fusobacteriota; Fusobacteriia; Fusobacteriales; Leptotrichiaceae. The record is from RNAcentral.
GGCGGACGGGUGAGUAACGCGUAAGAACUUGCCCUUUAGACUGGGAUAACAGAGGGAAACUUCUGAUAAUACUGGAUAAGUUAGUAUAUCGCAUGAUAUGCAAAUGAAAGCUACGGCACUAAAGGAGAGCUUUGCGUCCUAUUAGCUAGUUGGUAAGGUAAGAGCUUACCAAGGCGAUGAUAGGUAGCCGGCCUGAGAGGGUGGACGGCCACAAGGGGACUGAGAUACGGCCCUUACUCCUACGGGAGGCAGCAGAA